RNAcentral lists this ribosomal RNA (799 nucleotides) under uncultured Rhizophagus. RNAcentral describes it as "SSU rRNA". It matches the Rfam family "Eukaryotic small subunit ribosomal RNA", at positions 314 to 1114 of the family's 1831-position model. Lineage: Eukaryota; Fungi; Glomeromycota; Glomeromycetes; Glomerales; Glomeraceae. The record is from RNAcentral.
AUCAACUUUCGAUGGUAGGAUAGAGGCCUACCAUGGUGGUAACGGGUAACGGGGUGUUAGGGCACGACACCGGAGAGGGAGCCUGAGAAACGGCUACCACAUCCAAGGAUGGCAGCAGGCGCGCAAAUUACCCAAUCCCGACACGGGGAGGUAGUGACAAUAAAUAACAAUACGGGGCUCUUUAGGGUCUCGUAAUUGGAAUGAGUACAAUUUAAAUCUCUUAACGAGGAACAAUUGGAGGGCAAGUCUGGUGCCAGCAGCCGCGGUAAUUCCAGCUCCAAUAGCGUAUAUUAAAGUUGUUGCAGUUAAAAAGCUCGUAGUUGAAUUUCGGGGUCAGCAGGUUGGUCGUGCCUCUGGUACGCACUGGUUUCGCUGAUUCCUCCUUCCUGAAGAACUGUAAUGUCAUUAAUUUGGUGUUGCAGGGAAACAGGACUGUUACUUUGAAAAAAUUAGAGUGUUUAAAGCAAGCUAACGCUUGAAUACAUUAGCAUGGAAUAAUGAAAUAGGACGUUUGAUCCUAUUUUGUUGGUUUCUAGGAUUGACGUAAUGAUUAAUAGGGAUAGUUGGGGGCAUUAGUAUUCAAUUGUCAGAGGUGAAAUUCUUGGAUUUAUUGAAGACUAACUACUGCGAAAGCAUUUGCCAAGGAUGUUUUCAUUAAUCAAGAACGAAAGUUAGGGGAUCGAAGACGAUCAGAUACCGUCGUAGUCUUAACCAUAAACUAUGCCGACUAGGGAUCGGAUGAUGUUAAUUUUUUAAUGACUCAUUCGGCGCCUUACGGGAAACCAAAGUGUUUGGGUUC